Molecule: transfer RNA, 65 nt
Filed under: Notocrater youngi
Lineage: Eukaryota; Metazoa; Mollusca; Gastropoda; Lepetellida; Pseudococculinidae
Description: tRNA-Leu
Source: RNAcentral
ACUAAGGUGGCAGAAUAGUGCAUUAGGUUUAAGCCCUACACAUAAAGAUUAAUCUUUUCUUAGUA